AAAUGAAACAAAUCUAGGAUUAUUUUGAAGGGAAUCUCUAAAUUAGUAGAAACAAAUAAAAUUAACAUAAAAUUCGCAAAAUAAAAAAUAAUAAUCAAAAAAUAAAAUAAAUGUGGAAAUAAAUCUAGGAUUAGUUUAGGAGAAUCUCUAAAUUAGUGGAAUCAAAUCUAGGAUUAUUUUUUGGAGAAUGAAAAUCUCUAAAUUAGUGAAAACAAAUCUAGGAUUAUUUUUAGAAGAAUAUACAAAUUAGUGGAAAAAAAUAAAAAUAACAUAAUUUUUGAAAAAAUAUAAAAAAAUAAAUCUCCGGAAAAAACUAACAUGAUUUUCGAAUAUAAAAUACAAAAUUUUAGAAAAAAAAUAUUUUCGAAACAAUAAAAAAAUAAUAUGUGGAAACAAAAAUAGGAUUAUUUUUAAGAGAAUCUUUAGUGAAAACAAAUAAAUAAAACAAAAUUUUGAAUAUAAAUAAAUAAUUUAAUCAUCAAGAAAAAUAAAUAAUAUUAAUUUCAGAAAAAAAAGCUGGAAACAAAUAUAGGAUUAUUUUAACAAGAAACAAAUAAUCAAAAGAAUUCCAAAAAUAAACUUCGAAUAUGAUUUAUAUAAUUUUUGAAAAUAAAAAAACCAAAAAAUAAGGAAACAAAAAAACAAUACAUAAG
RNAcentral lists this long non-coding RNA (653 nucleotides) under Salvia miltiorrhiza (redroot sage). Its description in RNAcentral is "long non-coding RNA (SMIL_LNC003935)". The record is from RNAcentral. Lineage: Eukaryota; Viridiplantae; Streptophyta; Magnoliopsida; Lamiales; Lamiaceae.